AUUGAACGCUGGCGGCAGGCCUAACACAUGCAAGUCGAACGGUAGCACAGAGAGCUUGCUCUCGGGUGACGAGUGGCGGACGGGUGAGUAACGUCUGGGAAACUGCCCGAUGGGGGGGGAUAACUACUGGAAACGGUAGCUAAUACCGCAUAACGUCGCAAGACCAAAGUGGGGGACCUUCGGGCCUCACACCAUCGGAUGUGCCCAGAUGGGAUUAGCUAGUAGGUGGGGUAAUGGCUCACCUAGGCGACGAUCCCUAGCUGGUCUGAGAGGAUGACCAGCCACACUGGAACUGAGAAACGGUCCAGACUCCUACGGGAGUCAGCAGUGGGGAAUAUUGCACAAUGGGCGCAAGCCUGAUGCAGCCAUGCCGCGUGUAUGAAGAAGGCCUUCGGGUUGUAAAGUACUUUCAGCGGGGAGGAAGGCGGUGAAGUUAAUAACUUCACCGAUUGACGUUACCCGCAGAAGAAGCACCGGCUAACUCCGUGCCAGCAGCCGCCGUAA
RNAcentral lists this ribosomal RNA (504 nucleotides) under uncultured bacterium. RNAcentral's name for it is "partial 16S ribosomal RNA". It matches the Rfam family "Bacterial small subunit ribosomal RNA", at positions 30 to 523 of the family's 1533-position model. The record is from RNAcentral.